This 377-nucleotide ribosomal RNA is filed under the name uncultured bacterium. RNAcentral's name for it is "bacterial SSU rRNA". It matches the Rfam family "Bacterial small subunit ribosomal RNA", at positions 523 to 898 of the family's 1533-position model. The record is from RNAcentral.
AUACGUAGGUGGCGAGCGUUGUCCGGAAUUACUGGGCGUAAAGGGCGCGUAGGCGGCCUGUUAAGUCAGAUGUGAAAACCCCGGGCUCAACCUGGGGAGUGCAUUUGAAACUGAUGGGCUAGAGUGUCGGAGAGGGAAGCGGAAUUCCUAGUGUAGCGGUGAAAUGCGUAGAUAUUAGGAGGAACACCAGUGGCGAAGGCGGCUUUCUGGACGAUAACUGACGCUGAGGCGCGAAAGCGUGGGGAGCAAACAGGAUUAGAUACCCUGGUAGUCCACGCUGUAAACGAUGGAUACUAGGUGUGGGAGGUAUCGACCCCUUCCGUGCCGCAGUAAACGCAAUAAGUAUCCCGCCUGGGGAGUACGGCCGCAAGGUUGAA